CGAUGCGGAGCGAAAUUUAGUAGCGAAGUAGCUGAUUUCACACUGUCGAGAAAAGUCUCUAUCGAGGUUAAAGGUGCCUGUACCGCAAACCGACACAGGUGGGUGAGGAGAGUAUCCUAAGGCCAGCGAGAGAACUGUUGUUAAGGAACUCGGCAAAAUGACCCCGUAACUUAGGGAGAAGGGGUGCCUUCGAAAGAAGGCCGCAGAGAAUAGGCCCAAGCGACUGUUUACCAAAAACAUAGGUUUCUGCUAAGUCGCAAGACGAUGUAUAGGAGCUGACGCCUGCCCGGUGCUGGAAGGUUAAGGGGAUCUGUUAGAGCAAUCGAAGCAGUGAACUUAAGCCCCAGUAAACGGCGGCCGUAACAAUAACGGUCCUAAGGUAGCGAAAUUCCUUGUCGGGUAAGUUCCGACCCGCACGAAAGGCGUAACGAUUUGGGCACUGUCUCAACAACAGACUCGGUGAAAUUGUAAUACCGGUGAAGAUGCCGGUUACCUGCGACAGGACGGAAAGACCCCAUGGAGCUUUACUGUAGCUUGACAUUGAGUCUCGGUGCUACAUGUACAGGAUAGGUGGGAGACUAUGAAGCAUGGACGUCAGUCUGUGUGGAGUCAUCCUUGGGAUACCACCCUUGUAGUACUGGGAUUCUAACCAGAGGCCAUGAAUCUGGUCUUGGGACACUGUCAGGUGGACAGUUUGACUGGGGCGGUCGCCUCCCAAAAAGUAACGGAGGCGCUCAAAGGUUCUCUCAGUACGGUCGGAAAUCGUACGAAGAGUGUAAAGGCAAAAGAGAGCUUGAUUGCAAGACAUACAGGUCGAGCAAGGACGAAAGUCGGACUUAGUGAUCCGGUGGUUCCGCAUGGAAGGGCCAUCGCUCAACGGAUAGAAGCUACCCUGGGGAUAACAGGCUGAUCUCCCCCAAGAGUCCACAUCGGCGGGGAGGUUUGGCACCUCGAUGUCGGCUCAUCACAUCCUGGGGCUGUAGUAGGUCCCAAGGGUUGGGCUGUUCGCCCAUUAAAGUGGUACGCGAGCUGGGUUCAGAACGUCGUGAGACAGUUCGGUCCCUAUCCGUCGCAGGCGUAGGAAAUUUGAGGAGACCUGUCCUUAGUACGAGAGGACCGGGAUGGACGUACCGCUGGUGUACCAGUUGUUCUGCCAAGGGCAUGGCUGGGUAGCUAAGUACGGAAAGGAUAAGCGCUGAAAGCAUCUAAGCGCGAAGCC
RNAcentral lists this ribosomal RNA (1219 nucleotides) under metagenome. RNAcentral's name for it is "bacterial LSU rRNA". It matches the Rfam family "Bacterial large subunit ribosomal RNA", at positions 1564 to 2794 of the family's 2925-position model. The record is from RNAcentral.